RNAcentral lists this ribosomal RNA (497 nucleotides) under uncultured bacterium. RNAcentral's name for it is "partial 16S ribosomal RNA". It matches the Rfam family "Bacterial small subunit ribosomal RNA", at positions 28 to 507 of the family's 1533-position model. The record is from RNAcentral.
GAUGAACGCUGGGAGCGUGCCUCAUACAUGCAAGUCGAGCGAACAGAUAAGGAGCUUGAUCCUUUGACGUUAGCGGCGGACGUGUGAGUAACACGUGGGUAAACUAUCUAUAAGACUGGAAUAACUCGGGGAAACCGUGGCUAAUGCCGGAUAACAUUUAGAACCGCAUGGUUCUGAAGUGAAAGAUGGUUUUGCUAUCACUUCUAGAUGGACCCGAGUCGUAUUAGAUUGUUGGUAAUGUACCGGCUUAACAAGGCAACUAUACGUAGCCGACCUGAGAGAGUGCUCGGCGACACUGGAAUUGAGACACGGUCCAGACUCCUACUGGAGGCAGCAGUAGGGAAUCUUCCGCAAUGGGCGAAAGCCGGACGGAGCAACGCCGCGUGAGUUAUGAAGGUAUUCGGAUCGUAAAACUCUGUUAUUAUGGAAGAACAAAUGUGUAAGUAACUGUGCACGUAUUGACGGUACCUAAUCAGAAAGCCACGGCUAACUACGUG